AUACGUAGGUGGCAAGCGUUAUCCGGAUUUAUGGGCGUAAAGCGAGCGCAGGCGGUUUUUUAAGUCUGAUGUGAAAGCCUUCGGCUUAACCGGAGAAGUGCAUCGGAAACUGGGAGACUUGAGUGCAGAAGAGGACAGUGGAACUCCAUGUGUAGUGGUGGAAUGCGUAGAUAUAUGGAAGAACACCAGUGGCGAAGGCGGCUGUCUAGUCUGUAACUGACGCUGAGGCUCGAAAGUAUGGGCAGC
RNAcentral lists this ribosomal RNA (246 nucleotides) under uncultured bacterium. RNAcentral's name for it is "partial 16S ribosomal RNA". It matches the Rfam family "Bacterial small subunit ribosomal RNA", at positions 523 to 769 of the family's 1533-position model. The record is from RNAcentral.